CCUACGGGAGGCAGCAGUGGGGAAUAUUGCACAAUGGGGGAAACCCUGAUGCAGCGACGCCGCGUGAGUGAAGAAGUAAUUCGUUAUGUAAAGCUCUAUCAGCAGGGAAGCAAAUGACGGUACCUGAGUAAGAAGCCCCGGCUAACUACGUGCCAGCAGCCGGGGUAAUACGUAGGGGGCAAGCGUUAUCCGGAUUUACUGGGUGUAAAGGGAGCGUAGACGGCAGGGCAAGUCUGGAGUGAAAGGGGGGGGCUCAAACCCAGGACUGCUCUGGAAACUGUACGGCUGGAGUGCAGGAGAGGUAAGUGGAAUGCCUAGUGUAGCGGUGAAAUGCGUAGAGAUUAGGAGGAACACCAGUGGCGAAGGCGGCUUACUGGACUGUAACUGACGUUGAGGCUCGAAAGCGUGGGGAGCAAACAGGAUUAGAUACCCCAGUAGUC
Molecule: ribosomal RNA, 440 nt
Filed under: uncultured bacterium
Lineage: Bacteria
Description: partial 16S ribosomal RNA
Rfam family: Bacterial small subunit ribosomal RNA
Source: RNAcentral